RNAcentral lists this ribosomal RNA (1134 nucleotides) under uncultured Mycoplasma sp. RNAcentral describes it as "bacterial SSU rRNA". It matches the Rfam family "Bacterial small subunit ribosomal RNA", at positions 143 to 1293 of the family's 1533-position model. The record is from RNAcentral. Lineage: Bacteria; Bacillati; Mycoplasmatota; Mollicutes; Mycoplasmatales; Mycoplasmataceae.
AUAGCAGUUCGAAAGAACUAUUAAUACUCCAUAGGUUUAUGAAAUAAUAAAUUAAAGGGAGCUCCCCCGGGGGCUCCGCGUAAAAAUAGGAAUUUGUCCUAUUAGGUUGUUGGUGGGGUAAAGGCCUACCAAGCCAAUGAUGGGUAGCUGAACUGAGAGGUUGAACAGCCGCAAUGGGAUUGAGAUAUGGCCCAUAUUCCUACGGGAAGCAGCAGUGAGGAAUUUUUCACAAUGGACGAAAGUCUGAUGGAGCAAUACCACGUGAACGAUGAAGGUCUUCUGAUUGUAAAGUUCUUUUAUUUAGGAAAAAAAGCGCGCUAGGAAAUGAGCGCGCCUUGAUGGUACUAAUUGAAUAAGUGACAGCUAACUAUGUGCCAGCAGCUGCGGUAAAACAUAGGUCACAAGCAUUAUCCGGAUUUAUUGGGCGUAAAGGAAGCGUAGGCGGGAAGGUUGAUCCAUUGUUAAAGGCAUUUGCUUAACAAAUGUAUGCGAUGGAGAUCGCCUUCCUAGAAUUAAUCAGGGGGUACUGGAAUUCAAUGUGUAGCGGUGGAAUGCGUAGAUAUAUUGAGGAACACCAGAGGCUAAGGCAAGUACCUGGGAUAUAAUUGACGCUGAGGCUUGAAAGCGUGGGGAGCAAAUGGGAUUAGAUACCCCAGUAGUCCACGCCGUAAACGAUGAGCAUUAGGUAUUUGACGCUAUGUCGAGUGCUGUAGCUAACGCGUUAAAUGCUCCGCCUGGGUAGUAUAUAUGCAAAUAUGAAACUCAAAGAAAUUGACGGGGACCUGAACAAGUGGUGGAGCAUGUUGCUUAAUUCGAUAAUACACGAAAAACCUUACCCAGGCUUGUUAUCUACUGCAAAACUAUAGAAAUAUAGUGGAGUAUAUCAGUAAGACAGGUGGUGCAUGGCUGUCGUCAGCUCGUGUCUUGAGAUGUUUGGUUAAGUCCCGUAACGAGCGCAACCCUACUCUCUAGUUAAUUAGUUCUAGAGUGACUGAAUCGUAAGAUAUAGGAAGGUUGGGGCCAGGUCAAGUCAUCAUGCCCCUUAUGCCUUGGGCUGCAAACGUGCUACAAUGGUAGGUACAAUGUGUUGCAAUCUAGCGAUAGUGAGCUAAUCACCGAAAACCUAUCUCAGUC